UGGCAGCAGUGGGGAAUAUUGGUCAAUGGGCGCAAGCCUGAACCAGCCAAGCCGCGUGCAGGAUGACGGCCCUAUGGGUUGUAAACUGCUUUUAUACGGGAAGAAACACCUGACGUGCUCAGGGAAUGACUGUACCGUAUGAAUAAGCAUCGGCUAACUCCGUGCCAGCAGCCGCGGUAAUACGGAGGAUGCAAGCGUUAUCCGGAUUUAUUAGGUUUAAAGGGUGCGUAGGCGGGUUUGUAAGUCAGUGGUGAAAUCCUGCAGCUUAACUGUAGAACUGCCAUUGAUACUGCAAGUCUUGAGUACAUUUGAGGUAGGCGGAAUGUGUGGUGUAGCGGUGAAAUGCUUAGAUAUCACACAGAACACCGAUUGCGAAGGCAGCUUACUAAACUGUAACUGACGCUGAGGCACGAAAGCGUGGGGAUCAAACAGGAUUAGAUACCCUGGUAGUC
RNAcentral lists this ribosomal RNA (452 nucleotides) under uncultured Bacteroidota bacterium. RNAcentral's name for it is "bacterial SSU rRNA". It matches the Rfam family "Bacterial small subunit ribosomal RNA", at positions 346 to 795 of the family's 1533-position model. Lineage: Bacteria; Pseudomonadati; Bacteroidota. The record is from RNAcentral.